RNAcentral lists this ribosomal RNA (275 nucleotides) under uncultured bacterium. RNAcentral's name for it is "partial 16S ribosomal RNA". It matches the Rfam family "Bacterial small subunit ribosomal RNA", at positions 335 to 626 of the family's 1533-position model. The record is from RNAcentral.
AAACCUACGGGAGGCAGCAGUGGGGAAUAUUGCACAAUGGGGGAAACCCUGAUGCAGCAACGCCGCGUGAAGGAAGACGGUUUUCGGAUUGUAAACUUCUGUUCUUAGGGAAGAAUAAUGGCGGUAGCUAAGGAGCAAGCCACGGCUAACUACGUGCCAGCAGCCGCGGUAAUACGUAGGUGGCAAGCGUUGUCCGGAAUUACUGGGUGUAAAGGGAGCGCAGGCGGGAAGUCAACUCAGCUGUGAAAACUAGGGGCUUAACCUGUCGACUGCAG